RNAcentral lists this ribosomal RNA (1404 nucleotides) under Burkholderia mallei 2002721280. RNAcentral describes it as "16S ribosomal RNA". Lineage: Bacteria; Pseudomonadati; Pseudomonadota; Betaproteobacteria; Burkholderiales; Burkholderiaceae. The record is from RNAcentral.
ACGCGUGCGGCGAGCGCGGCCGCCUGCUCGAGCGUCACCGCGCGCGGGCUCUUCGGGUAGAACACGAGGCCGAUCGCAUCGGCGCCGAGCUCGGCCGCCCAGUCGAUAUCGGCCGCGUUCGACAACCCGCAGAGCUUGAUCCGCGUGCGCGGCGGCGGCGCGUCGCGACUCCCGUCGCCGCCCGUGUCGCGGCGCGCGCCGGCGGCGGGCGCGUCGUUCGGCGGCGCGUCGGCCGGAAGGGUCGCAUCGGGUGUAUCGGUCAUCAUGUUCGUCCGUCCAGAUCGGCCCACACGCUGCUCCACGGCACGCUGCCGAGCUGUGCGGGCGGCACCGCGAAUUCGGCCGGAUAGCCGACGUGCGCGAGAUAGAGCCCUUCGGGCAUGAAAGUCGGCGCCGCGCAAUCGCGAUCGCGGCUCUCCAGCACUUCGGCGAGCCACGACGACGGAUAGCGGCCGCGCCCCACCGCGACGAGGCAGCCCAUCAGAUUGCGCACCAUGUGGUGCAGGAACGCGUUCGCGCGGAAGCGGAAGUGGAUGAAAUCGCCGUCGGGGCGGAUGCCGAUCUGGUACAGAUGCUUGACGGGCGAUUUCGCCUGGCACUCGGACGAGCGAAACGCCGAGAAAUCGUGCUCGCCGACGAGAUGCGCGGCCGCUUCGCGCAUUGCGUCGACGUCGAGCGGCGUGUGGACCCACCCCGCGCGCCCCGCGAGCAUCGGCGAGCGCACCGGAUGCACGUACAGCGCGUAGUAGUAGGUGCGCUCGAAAGCGGCGAAGCGCGCGUGGAACGUAUCCGGCAUCGGCUUCGCCCACUGCACGGCGACCGUCGGCGGCAGGAACGCGUUCGUGCCGCGCACCCAUGAGAAAUCCGCGCGGUCGAGGUCGGUAUCGAAAUGGACGACCUGGCCGAGGCCGUGCACGCCGGUGUCGGUGCGGCCCGCGACCGUCGUGUGCAGCGACGUCUGCGCGAAUUCCGCGAGCGAGCGCUCGAGCGCGUCCUGAACCGUCUUGCCGUGGGGCUGCGACUGCCAGCCGCAGAACGCCGCGCCGUCGUACUGAAUGCCGAGUGCGAUUCUCAUCACGACAGAUCGGCGAGUUUCGCGAGCAUCACGCGCGCUUCGUCGCGCGUGUCGGCGUGAUCGGCUUCGAUCACUUCGUGCAGCAGCGUGCGCGCGCCGGCCAGAUCGCCGAGCUCGACGUAUUCGGACGCGAGUUCGAGCUUGUUGCGCGCGAUCUGCGCGAGCGCCUCGGGCGUGAACGCCGGCAGCGACGCGCUCGGGCCGGACGGCAGCUCGAGAUCGAAAUCGAGGUUCAGCGCGCCGAAUUGCGCGACGCCGAGCGGCGGCGGGUUCGCGGCCGGCGCGCGGUCCGGCGCGGCCGGGACGUCGCCCGGCUCGGCCGGCGCCGG